This 109-nucleotide ribosomal RNA is filed under the name Winogradskyella sp. RNAcentral also lists the same sequence under 1 other name. The record is from RNAcentral. Lineage: Bacteria; Pseudomonadati; Bacteroidota; Flavobacteriia; Flavobacteriales; Flavobacteriaceae.
UAAGGUGGUUAUAGCGACGGGGCUCACCUCUUACCAUUCCGAACAGAGAAGUUAAGCCCGUUUGCGCCGAUGGUACUACUAUCUGUGGAAGAGUAGGUCGCCGCCUUUU